CUGGAAUUGGUAAACUCACACUCUCAGUGCUAUCCCACUACAGUUAUAGAAAGGUCAUACUCACAUUCUGAGUGCUAUCCCACAAGAGUUAUGGAAUGCUCAUCUUUCAUCAGUUGAGAGAACCCUGGCUAACGCAAAUGGUUAACAAAAUGUCAGGACAAUGGUUACCAGUGGAGGAAAGUAUGAUUGAGAGAGAAACACAGGAGGAGUCUAAGACAGAGCAAGUGGCACAAUCAUAGCUUGCUGCAGCCUUGAAGUCCUGGGCUGAAGUGAUCCACCUUCCUCAGCCUCCCCGGUCACUGGGACUACAGGUGCACACCACCAUGCCUGGCUGAUUAUUAUUAUUAUUAUUAUUUUAUUUUUUGUAAAGAUGAGGUCCAACUAUGUUUCCCAGACUGGUCUCAAACUCCUAGGCUUAAGUGAUCCUCUACCAUAGCCUCCCAAAGUACUGGGAUUAUAGCUGUGAGCAACCACACCCAUCUGAUAUUCUUAUAUUAAUCCAACAAUUAUAUAAUUUUUAAAAAACUCUACAGUUUUCUAUGUGGACAAUCAUGUGGUAUGCAAAUUAUUUUGUUUCUUUUCAGUUCUUAUGUAUCUUCUUUGCUUCUGAUGCACAGCUAGCCCUAUAGUACCUAUUACCAUGUGAAUCUAUAUAGAUAUACCUACAGAUGAACUCAUACACUGAUA
Non-coding RNA from Callithrix jacchus (white-tufted-ear marmoset), 687 nucleotides. Lineage: Eukaryota; Metazoa; Chordata; Mammalia; Primates; Cebidae. The record is from RefSeq and is a predicted model, not a curated record.